GAUGAAGAACGCAGCGAAAUGCGAUAAGUAAUGUGAAUUGCAGAAUUCAGUGAAUCAUCGAAUCUUUGAACGCACAUUGCGCCCCCCAGUAUUCUGGCGGGCAUGCCUGUUCGAGCGUCAUUUCAACCAUCAAGCCCUGCUUGUGUUGGGGUCCUGCGGCUGCCCGCAGGCCCUGAAAACCAGUGGCGGGCUCGCUAGUCACACCGAGCGCAGUAGUUUACUCUUCACUCAGGACGUGUAGCGGGUUCCGGCCGUGAAACCCCCCAAUUUUCAAGGUUGACCUCGGAUCAGGUAGGAAUACCCGCUGAACUUAAGCAUAUCAAUAAGCGGAGGA
This 334-nucleotide unclassified non-coding RNA is filed under the name soil metagenome. RNAcentral describes it as "partial contains 5.8S ribosomal RNA, internal transcribed spacer 2, and large subunit ribosomal RNA". The stretch from base 1 to 120 matches the Rfam family "5.8S ribosomal RNA", at positions 35 to 154 of the family's 154-position model. The record is from RNAcentral.